GACGAACGCUGGCGGCGUGCUUAACACAUGCAAGUCGAACGGUGAAGCGCCUUCCUUUUUGGUGGGUGUGGAUGAGUGGCGAACGGGUGAGUAACACGUGAGUAACCUGCCCCCUUCUUCUGGAUAACCGCAUGAAAGUGUGGCUAAUACGGGACAUUCUGGGUCUGUCGCAUGAUGGGUCUGGGAAAGAUAUUGUUUCGGUGGGGGAUGGGCUCGCGGCCUAUCAGCUUGUUGGUGGGGUGAUGGCCUACCAAGGCGGUGACGGGUAGCCGGCCUGAGAGGGUGGACGGUCACACUGGGACUGAGACACGGCCCAGACUCCUACGGGAGGCAGCAGUGGGGAAUAUUGCACAAUGGGCGCAAGCCUGAUGCAGCGACGCCGCGGGAGGGAUGGAGGCCUUCGGGUUGUGAACCUCUUUCGCCAGUGAAGCAGGCCUGCCUCGUUUGUGGGUGGGUUGACGGUAGCUGGAUAAGAAGCGCCGGCUAACUACGUG
RNAcentral lists this ribosomal RNA (494 nucleotides) under uncultured bacterium. RNAcentral describes it as "partial 16S ribosomal RNA". It matches the Rfam family "Bacterial small subunit ribosomal RNA", at positions 28 to 507 of the family's 1533-position model. The record is from RNAcentral.